Molecule: long non-coding RNA, 2830 nt
Filed under: Sus scrofa (pig)
Lineage: Eukaryota; Metazoa; Chordata; Mammalia; Artiodactyla; Suidae
Description: lncRNA (ENSSSCG00000052656.1)
Source: RNAcentral
AAAACAGGAUGUCACUUGAGCAAGGUGGUCAGUCUCGUGGGUCAGCAUAAAGAGCCCUUUUAACAAUGAGCCCCCAUGUAGCCCCUAACAUAUAUGUGUAUAUAUAUAUAUAUAUCUGUGUUUUUGAAUUUGGAAUGUACCUUAAAAUAUAUUAAAAUCUCUCUGGGCUGCUAUUAAAGUUCUUCCAAGAAAUCUGCUUCUACUAGUCACAUGGGAGGCACUGUUGCCGGAAAUCGGCCUCUGCUCACAGGUGCUGAACAGAAAUGCAGAGAUGGAAUUUGGGGCGAAGGAGAAAACAAAAAACAAAAAAAAAACAGCUUUAUUGCUUUGCCAGGAAAGGAGGGUCAAAGCAGGCUAAUGCCUCAAAUACUGUGGCCCCCUUAGGAGGGAUUGGAAGGUAGUUUUAUAAUUUGGGGAGUGAAAAAGAGGGUCACAGAUAAGGAUCAGGGUAGAGGCAAGCCUGCAUUGCUUUCAAAGCUGGUGUUCAGUGGUCUGACAGUGGGUCUUCUUCCUGGAAUAAAGAAUGCUUCAUUAACAUCUUCCUUUUGAUGGGGUUUUAGUUCUGACCUUGCCCCAAAGCUGCACUAUUGUUUUUUGAUUACUCCUCUCAGGUCUCUGCAUCCCCUCCCUUGAUUAGCAACUCUUUAAACCUGCCCUUUGGAACUCAGGGAAGGUCUUGGAGUGGGAAAUGGGGGACACAGAAAGACUUGUGUGCCCAGGAGCCCACAGAGCUCUGCUCAGUUUCAACACUAUCAAACUAAGCCACUUUUUUUUGCUUUUUUGUGGGUAUGAGGGGUUAUACUUGUAUAAAUCCAGAAGGCAGAAUGGCCUUUACACUUGUGGUUUCAGUUCUUAAGAAAGAUGCCCCCUCCACCAAGGCUAAGGCUUGCACACUUCCUGAAUGUCACAUUAUUUCAUUUACCUGAGUACCUCAGAUUUAUGUGAGGGCCUUCUGUCACACUUCUUAUCUGGAACAUUCUCCUGCCUUAGGAGAAUGACCACAUGCCAGAGACUGAGCAGAGUGCUAUUAAUACCCCCUCAAUAUUCAUGAAAAAACUGGGCUUGGCACAGUUUUUGUCACAUUAUUGUCCCUUGAUUCUUAGAUGUCAUUGAUUGUAAGUUGUUUUUAACGUUAAUAUCAACUCUUUAGGCACUAAGACACAUAGCAGAAUAUGCAUAUUGAUGAAGUCAUGGUAAUAAGCAUUCAAGACAUGAAACUCUUGAUCUUACAGUUGUUAUUACUGCUGGCUCAAUAACAGGCCUUGUCUUUUCGUGGAGACCUCAUUCUCACUCUCUUGCACUGCUUUGGGAUGAACACUGCCCACCCCUCAUCUCAUCACAGAUCUCCUGUUUGACCAUCCAAAUUCACAUGUUAUGGACUGCUAUUUCUUCUCCUAAGAACCUAUCCCCAAACUGCUUCAACAUGUGGGAGCGGUUUCUCAAGAAAUGGUCUAUUCUCUGAGACAUCCCAGCAUUGGGUUUGUUGGUGAGGCAUUCCGUUUUCAGGGAAACUUUGUUUCCCCAGAUCUGGCCUUUGCAUGGAAAAAGUCCUUCCUCCUGUGCUCCACUGUGAUGUCUCCACUGUCUGUAACGUGUUGGGUGGCUGUCUUUGGAAAGGGACUUUCUGACUAUUUGCACAGAAUUGCAAAUCCUGUGAACUAGGCUGAAAAUCCAUUAGGAUUGUUCAUUUUAACCCAUGUGCUUAAAGGAAUUCCAAAUGAUAAGCUCUUCAGGAUAUUUGCUCUCAAAAAGUAUAUUUUAAAAUUCAUAAAAUCAACAUAAUCUAUUUCAGAAUGUUCACUAAAUAGAAAAAAAGUGAAAAAAAAAACUCCCCUAUAUUGUAAAAUUCAUAAUAUAGCCCUUGUUGUUAUUUUUUAUAUUUUAAUGUCAUUUUCCCUAAGUAUAAUUGUUAUCAUGUACACAUACAAAUUUUAAAAUUUGUUUCUAUUGUUUGUUAAUAUAUUAUGGGCAUUUUUCUACACUGUCAGGUAGGAGUUCUCUAAUACAACACGUAUAACCUUUAUAUUCAGCUUCCCUCUCUUCUCACCUCUCUUGACCCACUGUCAUCCUCUAGUCCAUCCAUACUGAACGACACACAGUUAUUAGACAUUAUCCUCUUCACAACCCACCUCUCACUCUGCCUCUUCCUGCUACAUCAGCCAGCUUAUGGGCAACAAACACAAUCCCCUAUAAUUGUUGAAAUCAAGAGGCUUUUUACAUAAGAACCACUUACUGGUGAGAGAAGUCCAACUAGGACUCGGGUUCAAUCCCUGGCCUUGCUCAGUGGGUUAAGGAUCCAGCAUUGCCAUGAGCUGUGGUGUAGGUUGCAGACCAAGCUCAGAUCCCAUGUUGCUGUGGCUAUGGUAUAGGCUGGGAGCUGUACUGUAGCUCUGAUUCAACCCCUAGCCUGGGAACUUCCAUAUGUCAUGGGUACAGCCCUAAAAAGAAAGAAAGAAAGAAACAAAACAAAGAAUAAACCCCAAAGAAGGAGCCACCUUUGAGUGCUGUUGUCUAGAGAGACACAGAAAACUGAGAUGUGAUAUCUCAGUUGAGAGGGAUUAGGAGAAACACCCCAUUUCUCUCCCCAACAGGCCUCUUACUUCCUACUGGAUAAACCCCAAGGAAGCACUGAUGCAGCAGGUCAGAGAAUGGCUAGGGAAGGAGAAGCCAAAGAGAGAAUGACAAUUUUAAUAACUAAUCCUCCAGGGUUGGUUUAGAUGUACUUUAUCAAGGAAGUAAGAAUGAGUUAGUUUCCUCUCUAUGUUCCCACUGCUUCCAGUGUUCCCCUUAAGAUAUUAUAUUUCAUACCUAAUUAAAAUUACUAAUGAUG